GCAGCCGCGGUAAUACGGGGGAUGCAAGCGUUAUCCGGAUUUAUUGGGUUUAAAGGGUGCGUAGGCGGUCUGGUAAGUCAGCGGUGAAAUUCAGGGGCUCAACCUCUGCCGUGCCGUUGAUACUGCUGGACUAGAAUGCGGAUGCCGUGGGAGGAAUGUGUGGUGUAGCGGUGAAAUGCAUAGAUAUCACACAGAACACCGAUUGCGAAGGCAUCUCACGAAUCCGCGAUUGACGCUGAGGCACGAAAGCGUGGGGAUCAAACAGGAUUAGAUACCCC
RNAcentral lists this ribosomal RNA (278 nucleotides) under uncultured bacterium. Its description in RNAcentral is "partial 16S ribosomal RNA". It matches the Rfam family "Bacterial small subunit ribosomal RNA", at positions 511 to 788 of the family's 1533-position model. The record is from RNAcentral.